GGCUCAGGACGAACGCUGGCGGCGUGCUUAACACAUGCAAGUCGAACGGGAGUAUUGAAGAAGCUUGCUUUAGAGAUACUUUAGUGGCGGACGGGUGAGUAACGCGUGAGGAGCUGUCCUAUGCAGGGGGACAACAGCUGGAAACGGCUGCUAAUACCCCAUAAGCCGAGAGGUAAAAGGAUCAAUCCGGCAGAGGAGGUACUCGCGUCCUAUCAGCUAGUAGGUGAGGUAACGGCUCACCUAGGCGAAGACGGGUAGCCGGCCUGAGAGGGCGAACGGCCACACUGGAACUGAGAUACGGUCCAGACUCCUACGGGAGGCAGCAGUGGGGAAUAUUGGGCAAUGGGGGGAAAAACCCCCUGACCCAGCGACGCCGCGUGGGUGAAGAAAUCCUUCGGGAUGUAAAGCCCUGUUGUAUGGGAAGAGCGGAAGACGGUACCAUACGAGGAAGCCCCGGCAAACUACGUGCCAGCCGCCGC
Molecule: ribosomal RNA, 479 nt
Filed under: uncultured bacterium
Lineage: Bacteria
Description: bacterial SSU rRNA
Rfam family: Bacterial small subunit ribosomal RNA
Source: RNAcentral